Molecule: ribosomal RNA, 468 nt
Filed under: uncultured bacterium
Lineage: Bacteria
Description: partial 16S ribosomal RNA
Rfam family: Bacterial small subunit ribosomal RNA
Source: RNAcentral
GACGAACGCUGGCGGCGUGCUUAACACAUGCAAGUCGAACGGAAAGUCCCGGCUUUGUGGGGCUCCUCUGGGUGCGACCGGGGAAGUAGCACUUGGGUACCGUGUCCUUGACUUUGGGAUAUCUUAAUAAAGGUUGGUCUAUUCCGGCCUAGGAGUUCCUGCUGCUGGGUGGGGGUGGGAUGGUUUCGCCGGUUGGGGAUGGACUCGCGUCUUAUCAGCUUGUUGGUGGGGUAGUGGCUUAGCAAGGCUUUGACGGGUAGCCGGCCUGAGAGGGUGACCGGCCACAUUGGGACUGAGAUACGGCCCAGACUCCUACGGGAGGCAGCGGUGGAGAAUAUUGCAUAAUAGGCGGAAGCAUGAUGCAGCCACGCCGCGUGGGGGAUGACGGCAUUCGGGUUGUAAACCGCUUUCGCCUGUGACGAAGCGUUAGUGACGGUAAUGGGUAAAGAAGCACCGGCUAACUCCGUG